This 453-nucleotide ribosomal RNA is filed under the name Entrophospora infrequens. RNAcentral's name for it is "LSU rRNA". It matches the Rfam family "Eukaryotic large subunit ribosomal RNA", at positions 358 to 668 of the family's 3401-position model. Lineage: Eukaryota; Fungi; Glomeromycota; Glomeromycetes; Entrophosporales; Entrophosporaceae. The record is from RNAcentral.
GGAAAGAUGAAAAGAACUUUGAAAAGAGAGUUAAACAGUACGUGAAAUUGUUGAAAGGGAAACGAUUGAAGUCAGUCGUGCUGGCGCGAAAUCAACCAUCUCGUCUUGAGGUCGCAUGGCGCGACGAGCCUCAAAACCGUCACGAAGUGUGAACUCUUGACGAAAAGGUGCACUUUCGUGUCCGCUGGUUAACAUCAAUUUUGACUGUCAUAAAAAGGCUAAAGGGGAUCUGGCUCCUUCGGGAAUGUGAUAAACUUUAAGCGGAAUAUGGUGGUCGGGAUUGAGGUUUGCAACGAAUACCUUUAGGGCUGCUCAAACUGGUCUGAUCGCCCCUUUUUAGUUAUCAUAUAUAUGGUGCGUUCCGCUAAUUAUAGGGGUGAUUAGUCAGGUGGUGCAAAUUCGUUAAGGAUGUUAACAAAAUGGCUUUAAACGACCGUCUUGAAACACGGACCA